RNAcentral lists this small RNA (893 nucleotides) under Pongo abelii (Sumatran orangutan). RNAcentral's name for it is "processed transcript". The record is from RNAcentral. Lineage: Eukaryota; Metazoa; Chordata; Mammalia; Primates; Hominidae.
CCCCGGCGGCAGACCCAGGUUCGGGACCAUGAGCUGGUGGAGAGAGACUUUGAAAGGGAGUAUGGAAAACUUCAGCAGCUGGAAGAGCAGACCCGGAGGCUGCAGAAAGACAUGAAGAAGAGCACCGACGCCGACCUGGCCAUGUCAAAAUCUGCCGUGAAGAUAUCCUUGGACUUACUCUCUAAUCCCCUCUGUGAGCAAGACCAGGACCUUCUGAACAUGGUGAUGGCCCUGGACACGGCCGUGAAGCGGAUGGACGCCUUCAAUCAGGAAAAGGUGAACCAGAUCCAGAAGACUGUGAUCGAGCCCUUAAAAAAAUUCGGCAGCGUCUUCCCGAGCCUCAACAUGGCGGUGAAGCGGCGGGAACAGGCCUUGCAGGACUAUAGGAGGCUGCAGGCCAAGGUGGAGAAGUAUGAGGAAAAGGAGAAGACGGGGCCAGUGCUGGCCAAGCUCCACCAGGCGCGAGAGGAGCUGCGGCCUGUGCGGGAGGACUUUGAAGCCAAAAACAGGCAGCUGCUGGAGGAGAUGCCGCGCUUCUACGGCAGCCGCCUCGACUACUUCCAGCCCAGCUUCGAGUCCCUCAUCCGAGCUCAGGUUGUGUACUACUCGGAAAUGCACAAGAUCUUUGGAGACCUGUCCCAUCAGCUUGACCAGCCAGGCCACUCCGAUGAGCAGCGGGAGCGGGAGAACGAGGCCAAACUCAGUGAGCUCCGGGCCCUCUCCAUUGUGGCCGAUGACUGAAUCCCCGUCACUCUUGGAGGACUCCUGUGACGUGGUCAGCCUCACUCAUCCUUGCCCUUCUCAGGGCUAGCUGCUCCUCUCACAGGCUGGGGACAGAGGUGGCCCUGGUUCACUUGCUGGCCCUUUGCAAUGAAUGACUCUUCCUGAGCCUG